Molecule: ribosomal RNA, 253 nt
Filed under: uncultured bacterium
Lineage: Bacteria
Description: partial 16S ribosomal RNA
Rfam family: Bacterial small subunit ribosomal RNA
Source: RNAcentral
UACGAAGGGGGCUAGCGUUGCUCGGAAUUACUGGGCGUAAAGCGCACGUAGGCGGCUUUCUAAGUCGGGGGUGAAAUCCUGGAGCUCAACUCCAGAACUGCCUUCGAUACUGGAAAGCUCGAGUCGGGGAGAGGUGAGUGGAACUGCGAGUGUAGAGGUGAAAUUCGUAGAUAUUCGCAAGAACACCAGUGGCGAAGGCGGCUCACUGGCCCGGUACUGACGCUGAGGUGCGAAAGCGUGGGGAGCAAACAGG